ACGGGUGAGUGAUGUCUGGGAAACUGCCUGAUGGAGGGGGGAGUAACUACUGGAAACGGUAGCUAAUACCGCAUAACGUCGCAAGACCAAAGAGGGGGACCUUCGGGCCUCUUGCCAUCAGAUGUGCCCGGAUGGGAUUAGCUAGUAGGUGGGGUAACGGCUCACCUAGGCGACGAUCCCUAGCUGGUCUGAGAGGAUGACCAGCCACACUGGAACUGAGACACGGUCCAGACUCCUACGGGAGGCAGCAUG
RNAcentral lists this ribosomal RNA (252 nucleotides) under uncultured bacterium. Its description in RNAcentral is "partial 16S ribosomal RNA". It matches the Rfam family "Bacterial small subunit ribosomal RNA", at positions 102 to 353 of the family's 1533-position model. The record is from RNAcentral.